UGAGGAAUAUUGGGCAAUGCCCGCAAGGGUGACCCAGCAACGCCGCGUGGAGGAUGAAUGUCGUAAGAUUGUAAACUCCUGUUAGAGGGGAAGAAUAGUACCGGUUGGACCGGUAUAUGACUGUACCCUCAGAGAAAGCCCCGGCUAACUACGUGCCAGCAGCCGCGGUAAUACGUAGGGGGCAAGCGUUGUCCGGAUUUACUGGGUGUAAAGGGCGCGUAGGCGGUCUGUUAAGUCCGAUGUUAAAUCCCGGGGCUCAACCCCGGAUAAGCGUUGGAUACUGGAAGGCUAGACGGUUGGAGAGGCGAGUGGAAUUACCAGUGUAGCGGUGGAAUGCGUAGAUACUGGUAGGAACACCCAUUGCGAAGGCAGCUCGCUGGACAACACGUGACGCUGAGGCGCGAAAGUGUGGGGAGCAAACC
This 422-nucleotide ribosomal RNA is filed under the name uncultured bacterium. Its description in RNAcentral is "bacterial SSU rRNA". It matches the Rfam family "Bacterial small subunit ribosomal RNA", at positions 355 to 774 of the family's 1533-position model. The record is from RNAcentral.